UGUGUCUGUGUGUAUGUAUGUGUGCGUGUGCAUGUCAGUGUAUGUGCAUGUGCGUGUGUGUAUGUGUG
This 68-nucleotide microRNA precursor is filed under the name Mustela putorius furo (domestic ferret). RNAcentral describes it as "miRNA (ENSMPUG00000020337.1)". Lineage: Eukaryota; Metazoa; Chordata; Mammalia; Carnivora; Mustelidae. The record is from RNAcentral.